RNAcentral lists this unclassified non-coding RNA (488 nucleotides) under Pichia kudriavzevii. RNAcentral's name for it is "ITS1". The stretch from base 109 to 261 matches the Rfam family "5.8S ribosomal RNA". Lineage: Eukaryota; Fungi; Ascomycota; Pichiomycetes; Pichiales; Pichiaceae. The record is from RNAcentral.
AAAACUGUGGAUUUAGUACUACACUGCGUGAGCGGAACGAAAACAACAACACCUAAAAUGUGGAAUAUAGCAUAUAGUCGACAAGAGAAAUCUACGAAAAACAAACAAAACUUUCAACAACGGAUCUCUUGGUUCUCGCAUCGAUGAAGAGCGCAGCGAAAUGCGAUACCUAGUGUGAAUUGCAGCCAUCGUGAAUCAUCGAGUUCUUGAACGCACAUUGCGCCCCUCGGCAUUCCGGGGGGCAUGCCUGUUUGAGCGUCGUUUCCAUCUUGCGCGUGCGCAGAGUUGGGGGAGCGGAGCGGACGACGUGUAAAGAGCGUCGGAGCUGCGACUCGCCUGAAAGGGAGCGAAGCUGGCCGAGCGAACUAGACUUUUUUUCAGGGACGCUUGGCGGCCGAGAGCGAGUGUUGCGAGACAACAAAAAGCUCGACCUCAAAUCAGGUAGGAAUACCCGCUGAACUUAAGCAUAUCAAUAAGCGGAGGAAUAG